RNAcentral lists this ribosomal RNA (460 nucleotides) under uncultured bacterium. RNAcentral describes it as "partial 16S ribosomal RNA". It matches the Rfam family "Bacterial small subunit ribosomal RNA", at positions 338 to 795 of the family's 1533-position model. The record is from RNAcentral.
CCUACGGGAGGCAGCAGUGAGGAAUAUUGGUCAAUGGACGAGAGUCUGAACCAGCCAAGUAGCGUGAAGGAUGACUGUCCUAUGGGUUGUAAACUUCUUUUAUAAAGGAAUAAAACGAGGCACGUGUGCCUGUUUGCAUGUACUUUAUGAAUAAGGAUCGGCUAACUCCGUGCCAGCAGCCGCGGUAAUACGGAGGAUCCGAGCGUUAUCCGGAUUUAUUGGGUUUAAAGGGAGCGUAGAUGGGUUGUUAAGUCAGUUGUGAAAGUUUGCGGCUCAACCGUAAAAUUGCAAUUGAUACUGGCAGUCUUGAGUACAGUUGAGGUAGGCGGAAUGCGUGGUGUAGCGGUGAAAUGCUUAGAUAGCACGAAGAACCCCGAUUGCGAAGGCAGCUUACUAAACUCUGACUGACAUUGAUGCUCGAAAGUGUGGGUAUCAAACAGGAUUAGAUACCCUAGUAGUC